AUUUAAAUAGCUUAAAUAGAGCAUAACGUUGAAGGUGUUAGGGUGAUAGUAAUAUCUUUGAAUA
This 64-nucleotide transfer RNA is filed under the name Helicocranchia sp. n SB-2022. Its description in RNAcentral is "tRNA-Phe". Lineage: Eukaryota; Metazoa; Mollusca; Cephalopoda; Oegopsida; Cranchiidae. The record is from RNAcentral.